AUGAGAUGUCGUCUGUCGUGGA
Molecule: non-coding RNA, 22 nt
Filed under: Arabidopsis thaliana (thale cress)
Lineage: Eukaryota; Viridiplantae; Streptophyta; Magnoliopsida; Brassicales; Brassicaceae
Source: RNAcentral